Salvia splendens (bonfire salvia) is the source of this 226-nucleotide long non-coding RNA. RefSeq lists it as uncharacterized. The record is from RefSeq and is a predicted model, not a curated record. Lineage: Eukaryota; Viridiplantae; Streptophyta; Magnoliopsida; Lamiales; Lamiaceae. The transcript is spliced from 2 exons.
UGGAAACAAGGACUAUUAGUUCUUUGAAAGAGGAAAACCUCCCCCUCGCAUGGGCAUGUUGACUAGAUUUCGUGGAAGAAAUUUAAGUCAAUACCCUUCGAUCAAGAUCAAAAUCAAAAUGUAUUGUACUGGUGUUGUAUUUUCCUUGUGGCGUUCCAAUAUGAUGGUGCACCUAUUCAGUGAUUCAAUAUCACCGAUUAUAAAUAGUAAAUACCAUCUUUUGUUA